RNAcentral lists this small RNA (29 nucleotides) under Bombyx mori (domestic silkworm). RNAcentral's name for it is "ovarian small RNA-21507". Lineage: Eukaryota; Metazoa; Arthropoda; Insecta; Lepidoptera; Bombycidae. The record is from RNAcentral.
UACUGCUCCGCCGAAAGAUCGGGACCCGU